This 72-nucleotide ribosomal RNA is filed under the name Fasciola gigantica. RNAcentral describes it as "partial 5.8S ribosomal RNA". It matches the Rfam family "5.8S ribosomal RNA", at positions 84 to 154 of the family's 154-position model. Rfam says of the family: 5.8S ribosomal RNA (5.8S rRNA) is a component of the large subunit of the eukaryotic ribosome. It is transcribed by RNA polymerase I as part of the 45S precursor that also contains 18S and 28S rRNA. Functionally, it is thought that 5.8S rRNA may be involved in ribosome translocation. Lineage: Eukaryota; Metazoa; Platyhelminthes; Trematoda; Plagiorchiida; Fasciolidae. The record is from RNAcentral.
UUGAACAUUCGGCAUUUUGAACGCAUAUUGCGGCCAUGGGUUAGCCUGUGGCCACGCCUGUCCGAGGGUCGG